GUGAACGCUGGCGGUAUGGAUAAGGCAUGCAAGUCGAAUGGGUUAGACCCAUGGCAGACGAGGUAGUAACAGGUAGGAACGUCCCCGGAAGUCGGGCAUAACCGGUCGAAAGAUCGGAUAAUUCCCGAUACGUCGCAAGAUGAAAGAUUUAUCGCUCCCGGAGCGGCCUGCCUUGUAUCAGCUAGUUGGUGAGGUAAUGGCUCACCAAGGCUACGACGCAUAGGGGACCUGAGAGGGUGACCCCCACCGAUGAGACUGAGACACGGCUCAUACCCCUACGGGGGGCCGCAGCCGAGAAUAUUCGACAAUGGGCGAAAGCCUGAUCGAGCGAUACCGCGUGGUGGAUGAAGUGCUUCGGCACGUAAACAUCUUUCAGACGGAAAGAAAUCGGGUGCGUGAAUAGCGUGCCUGGAUGACGGUACUGUCAGAAGAAGCACCGGCUAACUACGU
This 450-nucleotide ribosomal RNA is filed under the name uncultured bacterium. Its description in RNAcentral is "bacterial SSU rRNA". It matches the Rfam family "Bacterial small subunit ribosomal RNA", at positions 29 to 506 of the family's 1533-position model. The record is from RNAcentral.